ACACUUCAGCAGCACAUAUGCUAAAAUGGGAAUGAUACAGAGAUUAGCAUGGUCUCUGGGCAAGGAUGACAUGCAAAUUCAUGAAGCAUUUCAUAUUUUU
This is a small nuclear RNA of Bison bison bison, 100 nucleotides long. NCBI's taxonomy places the organism in Eukaryota, Metazoa, Chordata, Mammalia, Artiodactyla, Bovidae. The record is from Ensembl.